Pogona vitticeps (central bearded dragon) is the source of this 853-nucleotide non-coding RNA. NCBI's taxonomy places the organism in Eukaryota, Metazoa, Chordata, Lepidosauria, Squamata, Agamidae. The record is from the annotation of a RefSeq genome assembly.
UCUGUGGUUUGCUAGCAUUUUUUGCCUGACGUUGCCUUUUGAAAACUACUUAUGAAAGAGAAAGAGUAAGUGGCACGGCAUCACAAUUUUCUCGUGCACAACACAGCUCAGGAGCUUACCAGAAAGGAGGCAGAAUCUUCCCAGAUAUUUUCUUGGUCAUCUCCUCUUUGAUUCGGGAAAAUGUCUCCUGUCGGGACCUUGGUUGUGUUCCUCACAGCUGUCUUAAAAAGCACUACUGGCCAGUCGGUUAACCAGAUAGAAGGAACCGUGGUGGUGACUCAAGGAAAAAAUAUCUUUCUCCAUUGUUCCUACGAAUCUUCGUUUACCACAAACGAUCCUUUCUGGUAUGUCCAGUAUCCCGGCCAGCGUCCCAGGCUCUUUCUGAAAGAAUACACCAAAGAGGAGGGCAAUCGUCAUGGUUUCCAGGCUGAGCACCGUAAAGGAGAAAAAACUUUCCAUAUGAAGAAAUCGGCCAGCCAGUUGAAGGACUCCGCUGUCUAUUUCUGUGCUGUUCCUUGGGAAGAGCACAGAAGAUUGUCCAGCCAGAAUCAGCCAUACCAGUUGCAGGAGGAUCAUACGACCUUCCUUGCAAUCUCUCUUCGGUUUCAUCAGAAAAGAUCCUGUGGUAUCGCCAAUUCCCCGGCCAAGGACCUCAGUAUAUUGCUGGUGCAUAUCCAGGAAGAACUGACGAAGGCACCGAUCCGAAAAGCACAUUGCGCGUUGCGAAAGAGAAGACCUCCAGCGUCCUUUUUCUCCAUCACGUCACGCUGGCAGAUGCUGCCGUGUACUUCUGUGCUCUCGUCCUCGCACAGUGUGUGAGGAAAGGACUGUCGCCCUGCAAGAACCCCUCACA